GUUUUAGACACUGUCAAAAGUCUCAGUAGAUACUAUAUUAUACAUUUUGAAAACACCAACCACUUUAGAACACCUUUUUUUUACACUUGCUGGCAAAAUUUGCUAUUACUUCAAGGUAGCAAAUAUUACUGUAUUUUUAAGGUGCAACUGUUGUUCAGAUUUCUGCAGUCUGUAGGAUAAAUACUAGAAAACCAUCUUGGAUCUGAGAAAGAUCAAAGCUUUGACUUAUAUCUUCCUUUGUUUUUCAGUGUUAGAAAACAGGUAGUUAAAAAACAACUAUAUUCAUUAAAAAUCUAAAGUGGAAAGCAAUACAGAGAUUGUAUUGUGAAAGCAUAAGUAAUGGUAAGUGCUUUUCUUCUCCUUCUCCUUCUCUUUCUUUUUUUUUUUUUCUUUUUCUUUUUUUGGCUUAUGUUCUUUAUUUUUCCAUCACGUUGUUCCUUGGCACACUCUGGCAUUAUAAUGGAUCUCACAGUUCUCACUGUUGUUAUCACCUAAGGAACUGGAAGCUGGGCUGGUUGAAGAUUGAUGCUGUCCUGAUAAUGAGUGAAUGACAACAGGACAAUCUGCCUGGGACUCCAACAGUGAACACAGAAAAGGAGUGCUGCAACGUAUGUCAACAGAAGAGCAAGGCCCAGCAGGGAUACCUUCUGCAUGUUGGAGAAGGACCCCAGGGAAAGGGCCUGAUGCACUGCUCACACUUCCCUUAGGUGUGGCUGAUGUUCCUCACUUUUCCCUGAGGUAAGAACAAAAAAGAAAAGAGAAGAAGAAAUGAACUCUAAUAACUUUCAGAACCUGCUGGGAUUGGAACAGUCUGUGAAAUAAACCUUUUAUCCAGUUAUUCUAGGAUUUUCA
This 852-nucleotide long non-coding RNA is filed under the name Numida meleagris (helmeted guineafowl). RNAcentral describes it as "lncRNA (ENSNMEG00000006065.1)". Lineage: Eukaryota; Metazoa; Chordata; Aves; Galliformes; Numididae. The record is from RNAcentral.